GAUGAACGCUGGCGGCGUGCCUAACACAUGCAAGUCGAGCGAACCCUUCGGGGUGAGCGGCGGACGGGUGAGUAACGCGUGGGUAACCUGCCCUGUACACACGGAUAACAUACCGAAAGGUAUGCUAAUACGGGAUAAUAUAUGAGAGUCGCAUGGCUUUUGUAUCAAAGCUCCGGCGGUACAGGAUGGACCCGCGUCUGAUUAGCUAGUUGGUAAGGUAACGGCUUACCAAGGCAACGAUCAGUAGCCGACCUGAGAGGGUGAUCGGCCACAUUGGAACUGAGACACGGUCCAAACUCCUACGGGAGGCAGCAGUGGGGAAUAUUGCACAAUGGGCGAAAGCCUGAUGCAGCAACGCCGCGUGAGCGAUGAAGGCCUUCGGGUCGUAAAGCUCUGUCCUCAAGGAAGAUAAUGACGGUACUUGAGGAGGAAGCCCCGGCUAACUACGUGCCAGCAGCCGCGGUAAUACGUAGGGGGCUAGCGUUAUCCGGAAUUACUGGGCGUAAAGGGUGCGUAGGCGGUCUUUCAAGCCAGAAGUGAAAGGCUACGGCUCAACCGUAGUAAGCUUUUGGAACUGUAGGACUUGAGUGCAGGAGAGGAGAGUGGAAUUCCUAGUGUAGCGGUGAAAUGCGUAGAUAUUAGGAGGAACACCAGUAGCGAAAGCGGCUCUCUGGACUGUAACUGACGCUGAGGCACG
RNAcentral lists this ribosomal RNA (697 nucleotides) under uncultured Clostridium sp. Its description in RNAcentral is "bacterial SSU rRNA". It matches the Rfam family "Bacterial small subunit ribosomal RNA", at positions 28 to 755 of the family's 1533-position model. Lineage: Bacteria; Bacillati; Bacillota; Clostridia; Eubacteriales; Clostridiaceae. The record is from RNAcentral.